This 7149-nucleotide long non-coding RNA is filed under the name Homo sapiens (human). RNAcentral's name for it is "HSALNT0125725". The record is from RNAcentral. Lineage: Eukaryota; Metazoa; Chordata; Mammalia; Primates; Hominidae.
AUGUGGGCAUUGAGCUAUCUGGAAAGCCAAGCCAAGAUUCUGUCAGGUCAUAGUUGUUCAUGCCUUGGCUGUGGAGGCCUCAAGAAAAGGAAAACAGAUGCAGGAUUGCCCUGCUCAACUCUAAACUCCAUUUGAUUCAUCUGGCCUCUUCAUCAUUCCUGCUUUGAUUUAAUCACCCAUCCCCAGCAUUUAUUUAUGACUGGAGCUCCAUUCAGCUGGAACUUUGGACCUGGGUUCCAUUUAAUUGGGCACCAGCUCUGCACCAAAACACAUAUGGAACAAAUUAUUCUACCUUUUAAAUCACAGCAAUGUAUAAAUCUGGAAGAAAAUGCUGCAUUUUCUGACCUAGGAAUCCUUUCCCAGAGCUUUAAAAAAAAAAGCUGCUUUUAAAAAAAUUAUUAUUGAAAAAAAUGUUCUAAUAUGUCUUCAGAAUUUUUGAAAACUUAUUUCCAUGGAAUGACAGCUCAAUCACAUAUGGAGAUUUCAUUAAACUGGUUUAACAAGAAUUCCUGUUCAGAAGAGUUUAGUACUGAGCAAGCUGGUUACCAACCUCAAGAGUCUUACACUUUAAAGAUACAAUAAAAUAUAUUCAAACAUAUAUUCUCUUUUCUGAAAUGUGUUGGUAGUAUAUUAACACAACCAGUUAUAUCUCUAGGAUGCCAAGUAAUGUCAAGAAAAAAUUGCUCUGGACAAAGUUAAAUGAGCAAGGAAGACUUUAUUCAAGCUAUUUUAAUAGGGGACAGAGACAAUUGUCAAGAAGACAAUAACUCUUCUUGAAAGUCUAAAAUGUAGCAAAGCUGAGGGGAACUUUAAGGCUGUCUUGGUCGAUAAACAAGAAAAGGGAAACUCUAGCACUGAAAAAGUUACUUUUGAGCAAUAUUUUAAUAAAAGAAAAGCACACAAAUUCCUCUAAAGGAAGGGGAAGCUGUCUGAGGCCGAGGUGGUGCUCUGCCAGGAGCAAGCUGACAAGUCUCACUCAAGUGCUGGCAAACAGAGCUUGGGGGCCGGAGCAGGAGCCUGAGCUGGGAGGAGGCUGGCCAUUCAUUCCAGGAAACUAGUGGGUGGAGGGCCUUGAUGCCUGUGAUUAAGAGUGUUAAUUUGGAUUGAGAGGUAAUUGGGCAUUGGCACAGGACUCAGAAAGGGGAAAUAAUGCAAUCAAAGAGAGGCCUGAGGAAGAUGAUUGUGACACCUGUGAGAGAAUUGAGGCUACAGAGGCUGAGGCGGGAAGACCAAUAAGGAGGUCAUUAUCCUGCUGCCUAGACUGUUAGAGUGCUCCAUCUCUGCACUAAUCCCCACUCUGUCCCUUUUUCUUCAGUGAAGCACUUCUCCUGUCUCUCUCCUUAAUUAUCUUUUCACAAUACAGUCCCUAUGACCACCUUUUAAAAAAUCAAACUGUCCUUCUUAUUUCUUUGAAAUCUCUCCAGAAAGUACACUUGAACCAUAAGAUUUAAGAUGUAAUUAAAUCAUCAGAUCUUCCAGGCAGAAGAUGUGAAGCGAUAAUUAAGAGUUUCCUAAGUUUGCCUGAUCAUAAGACCCAAGUAGGGAUGUUUAAAACAUGUGUUUAAUUUUUUUUUUUUUUUGAGACAGAGUUUUGCUCUUUGUUGUCCAGGCUGGAGUGCAAAGGCAUGAUCUCAGCUCAUUGCAACCUCUGCCUCCUGGGUUCAAGCGAUUCUCCUGCCUCAGCCUCCCGAGUAGCUGGGAUUACAGGCAUGUGCCACCAUGCCCAGCUAAUUUUGUAUUUUUAGUAGAGUCGGGGUUUCGAUAUCUUGGUCAGGCUGGUCUUGAACUCCUGACCUCAGAUGAUCCGCCCACCUCAGCCUCACAAAGUGCUGAGAUUACAGGCAUGAGCCCCCGCGCCCGGCCUGGGGUUUCCUUUAAGCAUAACUUCCUAGGUUCCAUUUCACACUCACUGAAACAAUAUUGUCCACUGGACGGGUAUAACAACUUGUCUUUUCAGGAGAGUACCCCAAAUGAUAGCUAUGAUCUGACAGUUAGACAAUGAGUUAUAAGGGACAGUUAGUAGCUGGCAAUGUCAUGAGACUUCAUGAACGAGAUGAGUUUUUAAUGAGUUGAUUUUAAACUACUUUCCUCUCCAUUUUGGUUCCUGAUGGCACUAGCAUAUCAGGCUAAUGGUGAAUGCCUAAUGAAUGACGUUGCCUGGAAAACUGGUAAAAACCAGAUUAAAGUAUGCUCCUGCCAAGCACUGGCUUAGUUAAAUGAAUGUAAUCGGAGAAAAGGAAUCCUCGGAAAUGUGAGAAAACUACACAAAACAAUCGCAUUGGGGGAUGAGCCAGAAGCUGACCGUGAAAAUGAGGCUCUAGAUACACAGUCACUCAAGUGCUUUUUCAAAACUGAACUUCCAUAUCUCUUUGGCCCUAUCCCAAUAUGGAAGGACUAUAGUAGAUAAACAUCUGAAUGAGAAAAUGAAUAUUAUGCCAUACUGAUUCUACCAGGUUUAUACAGCUGUGGACCAAGUGAGUCAACAGUAAUAUGCCUUUAAAAAUUGAACAAACGUGAAACAAAAUGUCUUCAGGAAAUAAGAUUUAACCUGCAGGUUUAACUAGCCACAUUUUCCCCACGAAAAAGAGCCACUAAAAUAUGUAUCUGGAACCUUCGUGGAAGCAAGUCAAAGGAAUUUGAAGGAAAAGCUGAAGGAAUCACAUGGAGCCAUGCAUGAAACAAUGGGACCACCUAGUGUCAUCUGAACUUUUCCACUAAAGGGCUUAUCAUCACCCAGUUUCCUCUUGCCUAUGGUGUACGACUAGUGACUGAGUAGAGGGCUGGGUAGGAAAAAACAUCCAUUUCUAUUUGGGAUUUGGAGUUUGGGUGGAAGUAGAACAAGAUAACAACUGUCACCAGGAUCUAUUACCUUCUGAUAAGCUCUGGAAGGACCUGGUGCUCAUCUGACUGUUCACAGAUCCUUUUUAUCAAGACUGUUAUUCAGCUAAUCCAGAUGUCCUACUGAAACUGAUUAUUUUUUUCAACCUAGUGUCUUCUUUUGGUCAAAAUCCUUACCUAAUUUUCAAACAGAACCAAAAUAAUAACCAGUGCCUGCAAAACUUUUUGUGUCAAAAGUUCUUAUUCUCUAAGCACUUGGGGAAUUAUUUACGCAAGGCUCGUGUACAGAUCUACAUGUCCUAGGCUAACAACAGCUAGAGAGCCUUUAGGAUAUUUAAUUUGCUUUUCAAAUGCAAUGAAAAUAAAGUUUUUUUAACAUAUUUUCUUCUUUUAUUGAAAGUAUUAUUCUGAAAAGAGGACAAAGGAAACUUAUAGGUAGAAAAAGCAAAUAGUACAGAAAAAAAGAAAUGCUAGAGAAGACAGGGUUUCAGUACUACAGUCCAGUUAAGACAGUUUGAAUAUGGAUACACCAGAAAGAGAAAGAAACAAUAGAAUUAGCAAGAAUGGUGAAAGAAGAAAAAAAAAUGUGUCUUUUGCAUAAUAUGCUAAUUUAUCACAAUAACUUCUGAUCCCUUGUAAGGAUUCCAUGUCCUCUUUCUUCAAUGCCUUGACGCUAAUAGAUCCUAAAUACUAACCUAGAAGACUGACUUUACUCAAACCUUUCCUUUUGCUAGUAUAAUUCUCUAUUAAAGCAAGUGUAAUGUUUGAUUAUAUUUUAAUAAGCCACUAUAUACCUUGAUUUUGAAACAUAAAAAUGUCACAAGCAAAAUUAAAAUGCAAGUGACAAACUUCAAAAAAUAUAUUUUAAAUUAAUAAAUACAGAUACCCUUAAUAUAGAAAGAGUUGACACAAAUUACUAAGAAAUGUUAUUAAGAUUCUGGUCAAAAUACAGACAUGAGCAGAUAAUACUCAGAAGAAAACUACCAGUGGCCUGUUCAAUCUCAUAGUAAUUUGCAAAUUAAAAAAUGAAAUACAAUUCUUUAGUGAUAAUGUUCAAGACUGGUCAUAAUAUUCAAGGUGCAGAGAUAGGCUUUCUAUUUCAUACCUAGUAAAAGUUUAAAUAAGUAUAACUUUUGUGAAAAGUUAUUUGUAAUAUGCCCUGAAAUGUAGAGCUUUCAGCUUAGUAGUUAAACUACUACUGGAAUAUUAUUAAGGACAAUAACAGAUAUGAAAUAAUACACUCACAAGUGUAGUUAUUAAAGAAUUAUUUGUAAUAAUGAAAAACAGAAAUAAUCUAUUUUUCAUGAGGAAAGUUUUUAAAAUGAGUUUGUAGAAGAUUUAAUAAAAUGAGGAAAUACAUAUGAUAUUGUUUACAUAAGUAAAUACAAUUUUAAAUAUAUGCCCCCAUAUGGUUAUGAAUCUAAUUAUGUGUUUUAAACUGUAUUUACCAGGGUCGGUUUCCUUGUGAAUAUGUACUUUGGAAAUUGCCAAGUGUUUGAACAUUUCAAUGGCAUUUAAUUUUCCCCCAAAUUCAGUUUUUACAGUGCCUGGAACUUAUUACGCUGAUGUCUGCAUAAUGUGUGUCUUUGUUUUUGUAUUUUUUUAACUCAUUUAAUCACAGGGCCAAGUCACUGCCAGAUUCCCCAAUCUAUUUUUAAUUGGUCUAAAACUUUGAUUUUCAAAUAAACAAGCAUUACUUUAUCAUACCCUUUGAGACAGCCAGGUGGGAGGGGGUCUCAGAAAACCUCCAACCAGCCUGGGCACUGGGGUGAGGCCUCGGGAAGUUCACACCAUUUUCAGCCAGGAGGAGUCAGGCCUCUCCUCUGUCUACGUGGACCUGGGAUUCGAACAGCCAGGCAGGAAGCACUCUACCAGGGACUCUGGCCUAGCAAGAAUCCCUGUUUCCCCUUUUUCUUCCUUUUCACCCAAUAAAACCCUGUCUUACUCACCAUUCAAAUUCUCUGCGAGCCUGAAUUUUCGUCGGUGUGGGACAAAGAACCCCGUCUUUAACUGAACUAAGGAGAAGUCCUUCAAUAUCUUCAAUCCCUUCAUCUUCCUAGCACCAGAUGCUGGUUUUCUUUUCAGGAUGACUUUUACAAAUAAACUGAAGUGCUUGUUACUUUAUAAGAGUAAGAAAUUUGGAGAAAAAAAUAGAAAAAAACUUCUCUCACAUGCAGCAAACUUUAAAUUAUUCCAGAAAAGUGAAAUCCUGAGUCUUAAAUCAAAUGCAGAAGGUCUUCUGAAUAGAAAUAUUCAUCAAAAGGGGCUGGGAGGUGCAAAUUAUGCAGUGGUUAUCUGCGUCAAAGGAGUACUGAAGAUUUAAUUAUUUAUACUUUUUUUAAAAUUUGAUUAACAUCUGUUGUAUUUAUAAUUAUAAUGUAAUUAAAUUAAUUAUAAUCAUAAACCAACCUUUGUUUCUGAUUCUAGAGGCAGUAGAGCUUAAUGGUCAGAGCACUCAUUCUAAAGCCCAGUGGGCUGGUUCAUAUCCUGCCUCCAUUGUGACUUCUUGAACAAGUUAUUUAUCCUCUCUGUGCCUCAAUUUUCUCAUCUGUAAAGUAGGGAUAAUCACAUUACCUACAUCAUUGGGUUGUUGUGACAAUUACAUGAGUAAGUUAUGUGAAGCACACAGAACAGUGCUUGCCAAAUAACACUGUAUAACCAAAUGUGCGCUAUAAUUAUUUUGUUCUAAAUAAAUGUGUUCUAGAAUGCUCUAAAAACUAAAUGAUCUAACAUUUUAAAGUUACAACUAAUUUUGGAAGAUAGAGGUUUUCAAGGAUUGGUUAAAACUUGUACCACUGUCAUUUACGUGGAUUUUACAUUGUGCUGGAGACUACCAUAAACAUUUUAUGGACAUUUGUUCAUUUAAUUCUCACAGAAAAUUUUGAGUUAUAUUUUAUCACCAUCAUUUUAUAGACAAGGAAACUGGAUAAACAGAGGUUUAGAAAUCUGCCUAACUAGGUCACAGACAAUGGAAGAAGAAUGCCAGAAUUCAAACCCAGGUCUUCCUGCCCCCAAGAUUAAUGUUCCUAACUAUUCUGGGCAAUUAAGAUUUGUGAUAGGUAUACUACACUAGUCCUAGCUAUAACUAAAAUGUGUAUUCUUCAAAAUUUUGUCUGAAUAUUAGUAAUUAGAGAUCAAUUGAUAUUCAUGCUUUGUUAUUUCAGUAAAGAGGUCAUCUAUUAUAAUCACUGAAUAUGAGUCAUGCCUAUGAAAAAUCUAGUUGUUUACACAAUACUGCAUAAUCCUAUCACCACUAUUUCCAGGGCAACUUUUACCAAAAGGCAAUGCCAGGAGAAAAUAAACAGUCUCUCAUGGCUUAGUUUCACAAGCUUAAACCUAUAAAAUCAUGAGAGGAUAUAAAAAAUCCAAUGAUAGAGUUGCUGCUGCAGGUGUGCAAGUUUGUUGUUGUUGCUCCUAUAUUCUGAUGUAACAUUUGAAGUAUAGUACAGACAAUAAACUUGGUUCAGUGACUUGAAUACUUAGGCAGUCUGACUCUAGUAAACUGAAUGUCUAUUGAGUGAGUGUUCAAGAUGAAAAAUAUUUGAGGGCCUGUUUCUUAUUCUGGCAACUGAUGAAUGGGAAGCUCCACUCCCCAUCCCCAAAUAUGUGUGGAUUGAUGGGGCUUCAGAAUUAAGACAUAGAGAAGGAAAAGUCGCCAUAUACUACUUUAAAGGGUUAACGAGCAGUCCGGGAAAAGAUGCUCACCUUAGAUGUCAGCAGCACCUCUCAAGGAUGUGCCGUGUAUUCUAACGAAGAUGUUCUUGGAAAACUCUUUACUAAGAAAAGAACUAGCAAAGAAUUGACAAAGCCUUGAAAUUAUCUUGUCCCUCCUACAAAUCGCAAGCUCUUCAUUAAAGGCAUCAGAACACGUUCUAACAAGAAAUUUUCAGCUUAGAGUGGUUGUUCUGCCAUUCUGCCACUCUCCAUGUUAAGGCCAUUCCAGGGAGGGUAGAUUCUAUGAUUAAGGCGAUUAAGGUAAUCAGCCAGGCUGACUCAAACACUCAAUCUAGCUGCUGCCAGUGGACCUGCUGGUAAUCACCAGAAGAGUAUGCGUUGGAGGAGAAUUUCUCUCUACAAGUACUCUUGUGUUUGUUAAAGUUGAAACUAAGUUGGACAAAGAACUGUGCUUGAAAGUUUCCAGCUCUAUAAAUUGUAACUUCCAUAAAAUGUAUCCCUGACUAACAGUCCCCUGACCACAUACCAGGGGUUAUGCUUCUGGAGUCUGUACCCCUUUCUAAUAAACUGCUCUGGACACAAUGAACCCUGAAUUAAUUGUUGUAACAGGUUAAUGGAUAAGGUAACAAAAAAAAC